This is a long non-coding RNA of Ochotona curzoniae (black-lipped pika), 344 nucleotides long. RefSeq lists it as uncharacterized. The transcript is spliced from 4 exons. The record is from RefSeq and is a predicted model, not a curated record. NCBI's taxonomy places the organism in Eukaryota, Metazoa, Chordata, Mammalia, Lagomorpha, Ochotonidae.
AGCCACAUGAUGGAAGUGUGGAUGACCCCCGAAGACUGCAGCAGGAUCCUGAGGCUGUGUUGGAGGCAGACACACAGAGAGCAAUCUGUAAAGAUGCGCCUGCGAUGGGGCCAGAUGUGUCUGCUGGGUCCUGGGUCACCAGAAAGCUCCUACAUCCAGAAUAUUGAAUCCUCAUGGACUCAGGAAAACAAAGGAUCUUCUGCAACGUCAAUGUAUUGCUUUCCCAAGAAGAUGUCAUAACAUAGACUAUUGGGUUUCAGGCCAUGUUUUCUCAGCCAAGGAGCUGGGCUACAAGAACUCUAAUGACCAGGAGUACGCUUGUUAGUGGAAGACGUCAGAAACUC